AGAGAGAGACAUGCGCGCAUAUCAAUAAGCGGAGGAAAAGAAACUAACUAGGAUUCCCUCAGUAACGGCGAGUGAAGCGGGAAGAGCUCAAAUUUGAAAUCUUUCUUCAAGGUUCUACCUUGACGAAUUGUAGUUUAAAGAAGUGUUUUCUGUUGGAGUUUUGGUAAAAGUUCUUUGGAAUAGGACAUCAUAGAGGGUGAGAAUCCCGUAUUUGACCAUUAUUUCCAGCUUUGUGAUACACUUUCAAAGAGUCGGAUUGUUUGGGAAUGCAGUCCAAAAUGGGUGGUAAAUUUCAUCUAAAGCUAAAUAUUGGCGAGAGACCGAUAGCGAACAAGUACCGUGAGGGAAAGAUGAAAAGAACUUUGAAAAGAGAGUUAAACAGUACGUGAAAUUGUCAAAAGGGAAGCGUUUGACACCAGUGUUGUUUUCUCGAAAAUCAAUUAAAAAAGGCAGGAUUUUGUGUUGUAUUGACUUUAUCAGCUUUCUGCACUCUUUUCUUGUCUUUUUUAAUGCACUUUUCGUUUAACAAGUCAACAUCAAUUUCUUUUGUUGUAAAAGGGUCAUUGGAAGGUGGCUUUCUUUUCGGAGAAAGUGUUUAUAGCCUUUGGCCUCUGCAAUCGGAGAGAUUGAGGUCUGCAGCGUAGAUCCUUCGGGGUUAGAUACAUUUGUGCUAAGUUAUAGCCUUUCAUAGACAACUUGUUGACUAUGAUCAGUCAUGUAGCUUACUCGCUUAUGCUAUUUUACCUACGCUUAGGAUGUUGAUGUGAUACUGCGAGCA
Molecule: ribosomal RNA, 778 nt
Filed under: uncultured Neocallimastigales
Lineage: Eukaryota; Fungi; Neocallimastigomycota; Neocallimastigomycetes; Neocallimastigales
Description: partial large subunit ribosomal RNA
Rfam family: Eukaryotic large subunit ribosomal RNA
Source: RNAcentral